This 469-nucleotide ribosomal RNA is filed under the name uncultured bacterium. RNAcentral describes it as "partial 16S ribosomal RNA". It matches the Rfam family "Bacterial small subunit ribosomal RNA", at positions 28 to 507 of the family's 1533-position model. The record is from RNAcentral.
GACGAACGCUGGCGGCGUGCUUAACACAUGCAAGUCGAACGGAAAGGCCCUGAUUGCAGGGUGCUCGAGUGGCGAGCGGGUGGGUAAGACGUGGGUGAUCUGCCCCUUACUAUGGGAUAAGCCUGGGAAACUGGGUGUAAUACUGGAUAGAAAAAUGCUGUAGGUGGUGUGGUGGAAAGAUUAGUUUCGGUAAGGGAUGAGCUCGCGGACGAUCAGCUUGUUGGUGGGCUAAUGGCCUACCAAGGCGUCGACGGGUAGCCGGCCUGAGAGGGUGGACGGCCACAUUCGGACUGAGAUGCGGCCCAGACUCCUACGGGAGGCAGCAGUGGGGGAUAUCGCAAAAUGGGCCCAAGCCUGAUGCAGCGACGCCGCGUGGAGGAUGACGGCCUCCGGGUUGUAAACUCCAAUCAUCCAUGACGAAGCCCUUGUGUUGACGGUAGUGGUAGAAGAAGCACCGGCUAACUACGUG